GACGAACCGUGCGAACGUUGUUCGGAAUAACUGGGCUUAAAGGGAGCGUAGGCGGGCUAACAAGUCUGGGGUGAAAUCCCGCGGCUCAACCGUGGAACUGCCUUAGAUACUGUCGGCCUCGAGGGAGAUAGGGGCAUGCGGAACUAACGGUGGAGCGGUGAAAUGCGUUGAUAUCGUUAGGAACUCCGGUGGCGAAAGCGGCGUGCUGGAUCUCUUCUGACGCUGAGGCUCGAAAGCUAGGGGAGCAAACGGG
RNAcentral lists this ribosomal RNA (253 nucleotides) under Frigoriglobus sp. RNAcentral describes it as "partial 16S ribosomal RNA". It matches the Rfam family "Bacterial small subunit ribosomal RNA", at positions 524 to 776 of the family's 1533-position model. RNAcentral also lists the same sequence under 1 other name. The record is from RNAcentral. Lineage: Bacteria; Pseudomonadati; Planctomycetota; Planctomycetia; Gemmatales; Gemmataceae.